This 255-nucleotide long non-coding RNA is filed under the name Mytilus galloprovincialis (Mediterranean mussel). Lineage: Eukaryota; Metazoa; Mollusca; Bivalvia; Mytilida; Mytilidae. The record is from RNAcentral.
GCGCAGCUUUAUACGACCGCAGAGGUUGAACCCUGAACAGUUGGGGCAAGUAUGGACACAACAUUCAAGCUGGAUUCAGCUCUAAAUUUGGAUUGUGAUUAAAUAGUUGACACAGUAUAGGUUUCUGACACAGAAUGAAUGUGGUCUAAUGAACAUAAAAUACUUUUUUUUCCUUUGAGCAAUUCACUAUGCUGUUGAAUAUUAAUCCUCUCAAAAAAAUGUUUGAAGAAAUUUUCUUUUUAUUUAUGAAAUCUG